GAGGUACAGUUCUGUAUAUGAAUGGCAUUUUCAGUAAAGAAGUCUUGAGUACAAACGUUAGCGUUGAAUACCACUUCUCUGCCGAUCCUUAUUUUAGUGCCUCAAGCAGUAACGACUCUGGUUUUUCUGUAUAACGCCUCUGUGCGGUUUAAACUAUUAAAGGAAACUUUGAAAUGGCAAAGAUUAAAGGUCAGGUUAAGUGGUUCAACGAGUCUAAAGGCUUCGGUUUCAUCACUCCGGCUGAUGGCAGCAAAGACGUGUUCGUACACUUCUCUGCAAUUCAGGGUAACGGCUUUAAAACUUUAGCCGAAGGCCAGAAUGUUGAGUUUGAAAUUCAGGAUGGCCAGAAAGGUCCUUCUGCAGUGAACGUUGUUGCGCUGUAAUUUUCAGCUCAUGCCAUAAAACCCGCCCUGUGCGGGUUUUUUG
This is a regulatory RNA element of Dickeya dadantii 3937, 426 nucleotides long. It matches the Rfam family "cspA thermoregulator". The record is from Rfam. Lineage: Bacteria; Pseudomonadati; Pseudomonadota; Gammaproteobacteria; Enterobacterales; Pectobacteriaceae.